CUUCACAUUUUUCUGGAAAAAGAAAAACUACCUCAUUGAAUAGCUCCCACCUCUCAUCUCUCAUCUCUCACCCACCGCCUCUCAUCUCCUGCUAAACAAUCUCAGAUCUACUCUACUCUCAAUGAAAUUGUAAGCCUCUUUCAACGCAGCUUCCUCAUUUGUCUUCUCAUGGACUUGUAUUUCUCUGUCUCACCUCUCCAAAUUUUGUAAAUUCCGUUCUCUAAACUUGUAGAUCUUGUUCGGCGUGUUAAUGGAUUAUCAUCUUCUACCUUGUCGGCCUUGUGAAAGGCUAUAUUUGAAUUAUUACCAAUAAGAGAAAGCCUGGAAUGGCCUGAGUUAGAGUAGAAGAGAGUGCCCUUUGGCUGCAAGUUACAGGUGAAUGAACAAGACCCCUACAAUAGCAGUCAUCGAAGCAGAACUGAUUAAGAAUUGAAGGCUUCUCUAAAUUUAAGGUCCUCAGUCGAAGAUGAAGCUGUAAUUAAUUCACGCCUUUUUCCAGAUUAUGCUGCCUUCUCUCACUCAAGGGGACCUAUUACAGGUUACGUUCUAUUAUUUGGGUAGUCUCAUAUCACAUGUAAGUCUAAAAGCAAGGUACAAGUAAAAAAAUUCCUCUUCAGAGCUGAGUAUAGAGCUAUUGCAUCAACGCGCCGCUUCUGAAGUUGAUUGGACUUUGGGUUAUUACUUAUUUGAGGAAUUAGGUGUCACCAAUUUGAAGGUAGUAAGUUUGUAACCCUGCAUUAUGAUCAUCAAAGUGCCUUUCCCAUAGCCAGAAAUCCCAUGUUCCAUGAAAAAACAGAAGGUAGCUCGCAUUCUGUCCAGAAAACCUAAGCCGUGUCUAAUAAUAGAUCGUCCAACGUGAUAACGAGCAACAUGGGCAGGACAUUCGAGCUUCAUCAUAUAACAUGGACAGGACAUUCGAGCUUCAUCAUAUAACCUACUACCACUGUUAAAUCCUAGUUUUCUAGGCUUUAUUACUUCUUCGGUUUAGUAUCAUAGAUAUAAUUUCAGAAGUCUAAUGUCUGGAUUAUUUAGUUUAGUUAGUUACGGAGUACAUUUGUGUACUAUAGAAUUUGGUUAAUUAGUAACAUUAUCGUGUAUGAUGGAUUUUUACUAUGUACUUUUAGAUUUUAUAAGUUAAUUUUAAUGAUACGUGAUCGAAGACCAAUUAUUUAAAAGUCAGGUGUUACUGA
Spinacia oleracea (spinach) is the source of this 1190-nucleotide long non-coding RNA. RefSeq lists it as uncharacterized. NCBI's taxonomy places the organism in Eukaryota, Viridiplantae, Streptophyta, Magnoliopsida, Caryophyllales, Amaranthaceae. The record is from RefSeq and is a predicted model, not a curated record. The transcript has 4 exons.